This 742-nucleotide ribosomal RNA is filed under the name uncultured Acanthamoeba. RNAcentral describes it as "eukaryotic LSU rRNA". It matches the Rfam family "Eukaryotic large subunit ribosomal RNA", at positions 83 to 621 of the family's 3401-position model. Lineage: Eukaryota; Discosea; Longamoebia; Acanthamoebidae. The record is from RNAcentral.
GUAGCGGCGAGCGAAGAGGGAAGAGCUCAAACUCUAAAUCUAGAUGUCACUAUUGAUAUCUCGAAUUGUGGUCUCGUGAUUUAACAUUACUGGAGUUCACUCUAAGGUAUAAAUCUCCUGGAACGGAGUGCCGCAGAAGGUGAGAGCCCUGUGCAGUAACUUUAGAGCUAAAGGAUUUCGAUCGUCAUUGUUAAGUCUCAGAGUCGAGCUGCCUGGGAAUGCAGCUCUAAUCGGGUGGUAGACCUCACCCAAAGCUAAAUAAGGGCAGGAGACCGAUAGCGAACAAGUACCGUGAGGGAAAGAUGAAAAGGACUUUGAAAAGAGAGUCAAAAGUGCUUGAAAUCGUUGGGGGGGAAGCGCUCGAGGCCGGGAGGUUAUCUCUUGUUGGCUGUUCAAUGUGUUUUAUGAGGCGUCUUGGUAUUAGAAGAGUGCUGUUAAAGGUGCCUUCUGGUAUUGAUGCAACUUUUCAAUAAACUGUGCAAUCAGCCCUGGAGAUGAGCCGGCGUCAACUAGUCUAGAAGAAGGGGGGUAGAUAUGGUGGCUUAUUGAGAGGGCAACUUUUCUUUAAACUCGAUUUAUUCAGCAACUUCUGGACUGGUUGAGGAAACCGUUCAAGAACACACGCUUCGAACCAGCAAUGGUUUGUGGGCAGGAUAGGCCAUUCCGACUUAGCUUUGCAUGAGGGGGCCGGCAACCGGCGCUUUUGAGGUACGGCUAGGUCUAGGGUGUGUCACAAUCCUAG